AGAGGGUGCGAGCGUUAAUCGGAAUUACUGGGCGUAAAGCGUGCGUAGACGGUUAUUUAAGUCGGGUGUGAAAGCCCCGGGCUCAACCUGGGAAUUGCAUUCGAGACUGAAUAGCUAGGGUACGGUAGAGGGAAGUGGAAUUUCCGGUGUAGCGGUGAAAUGCGUAGAUAUCGGAAGGAACAUCAGUGGCGAAAGCGACUUCCUGGACCAGUACCGACGUUCAGGCACGAAAGCGUGGGGAGCAAACAGGAUUAGAUACCCUGGUAGUCCACGCCAUAAACGAUGAGGACUAGACGUUGGAGGGGUAAGCCUUUCAGUGUCGUAGCUAACGCGCUAAGUCCUCCGCCUGGGGAGUACGGCCGCAAGGUUGAA
This 372-nucleotide ribosomal RNA is filed under the name uncultured bacterium. RNAcentral's name for it is "bacterial SSU rRNA". It matches the Rfam family "Bacterial small subunit ribosomal RNA", at positions 527 to 898 of the family's 1533-position model. The record is from RNAcentral.